AAAAUGCUGUAAACGGAUUUAAAGGGGCAUUUA
RNAcentral lists this small RNA (33 nucleotides) under Anaerobutyricum hallii. Its description in RNAcentral is "CRISPR_Spacer". Lineage: Bacteria; Bacillati; Bacillota; Clostridia; Lachnospirales; Lachnospiraceae. The record is from RNAcentral.